UUGGUUGUUACCAGGCAAGUAACUUUUGAGUGUCAUACACUGGUAUGAUUAUCAUUUUCAUGCUGUAUCUUUUUGUUAGCAAUAUGAUGCAAGAUUUUCUAAGGUUGGAUUAAGUAAUUGCUCAAUUGCUUUAUAGUUUGUACAAGAGUAAUUUCUUCUGUUUUAUCAUCUUUGUGUGGUCUAUUUUCCCCAGAACCAAUGGUGGUUCACGAUGGGGUUUACAUGAAUUUUAAAAUUAUGAACACUUGUUGAUUUUCAGUGCAGGAUGGUUCUUGUAUUCUUGACUAAGUUUCCAAGAAUGGCUUAGUUUAUGACCAUCUCCUUUUUAAAUCAAUUAGUGAAGUUGGUUUUUUUAUUUUGUUCUCUCUUUUCCCUGCCCAUUGUGAGGGGGUGCUUCCAAUUUGUACCUGUUCUACUACCAGAAUCAAUAAAGCUUUUGUCAACUAUGUUGCUGUGAAGAGAUUGUCUCUGAUUUCGUACUGUGGGCAUUUUUUGCAGUCCUUGGAGCUAUGGAACAUG
RNAcentral lists this unclassified non-coding RNA (519 nucleotides) under Hevea brasiliensis (rubber tree). The record is from RNAcentral. Lineage: Eukaryota; Viridiplantae; Streptophyta; Magnoliopsida; Malpighiales; Euphorbiaceae.